Molecule: long non-coding RNA, 2188 nt
Filed under: Phocoena sinus (vaquita)
Lineage: Eukaryota; Metazoa; Chordata; Mammalia; Artiodactyla; Phocoenidae
Description: lncRNA (ENSPSNG00000012459.1)
Source: RNAcentral
UGGAAAUGACUAAUUUUCAAGUUGCCAACAAUUUAUAUAGCGGUACUAUCUCACUCAUUCUCUGCAGAAGUUAAUUAUACUCGUGUUAAAAGUAUCAGAAUCCAAAUGUAUGGAAAAAUUAUUCAGAGAUUGAUUAUAUGAUCAUAUUUAACGUGAGUUUUUUCUACAGUGGGCGAAUAAGCGUCCUCAAAGGAAGCAAGUACAAAUCAGUCCCUUAAGAGCAAGACCGAGCGCUGUAGGUGCCUUAUCGGCAGUGACCCAGAAGGGCUAAUAUUUUCUAAGAAUAGCUUACAGUAGUGGCUUAACAUUUGUUAUACUUAUUUCACAUGAAAUACAUCUCUGUUUAAUUGCAUUGGUUGGAACAGCUCUUACCUGUAAGGGUGUGUGUUCUGUGAAGGUCAGUUGAAGGUCAGAAGUACAGUAUCAUGAAUGCUAGACUGGGUUUGGCUCCAGCUUUUUCAUUAAACUUUUCAGGGUCUCCGUUUCUUUAUCUGUAAAAUGACAGGGUUGGACUAGUUAGCUUAAAUAGUAGUUCUUUUAUACCACACACGUCUGUAAAAUUUGUUGGAUCCGUUUGGCAGAGAGAUUGAACAGAAAAGCACCUCAGUAAUGUGACGGCAGCCAGAUGAUUGAAAGACAAGUCAACACAUAAUUCAUAUUGAUCUGACUUUAUUUCUGUUAGAUUUUACACCCAGAAGAUUUAACUUCUUACAUAGUUUGUACAAACUUAAAAUCUGUCAGCAUCAAAGCUUAAAAGUUGGGUGUGUUCUCCUUGAGGCGGGUACAUGUAAGAAGCCUGCAGCCUUAGCCAGACCCGGGGCUGGUUUAGGUGUUCAUGGGCCUCUGCAUGCGUGGAUCUGUGUUUGCUGGAGAUGAAUGUGGAAAUUUACUCCAGUUCCUGUUCAGUCCAAGCCCACCCACUUUUUGGAGUUCAGUGAGAAAGGGGAGUAGAAAGGCCCCCAGCACAAUGGAUGCGUGUGCUUUUACUCACUAGCUAAGGGAAGCUGUCAGGACAAGAGUGCGCCAACAUGGGGAUGAGAAACCCCCCUCUCAGGAGCUCACUUUUGGGUAUGCAAGCUUUGUACGUUCACUGUGAUUCUGCACGAAGAAGAUGGACCUGUGUUCAGUUGAUAACCAUAUCAUCAACCUCAGCGUCAGUGUUUUCAAGAAGUCUUAGAAAGUCUCCAUAAACACCCAAGGCUUCACACUUUUUUUGUUUUUGUUUUUGCGGUACGCGGGCCUCUCACUGCUGUGGCCUCUCCCGUUGCGGAGCACAGGCUCCGGACGCGCAGGCUCAGCGGCCAUGGCUCGCGGGCCCAGCCGCUCCGCGGCACGUGGGAUCCUCCCGGACCGGGGCACGAACCCGCGUCCCCUGCAUCGGCAGGCAGACUCUCAACCACUGCGCCACCAGGGAAGCCCCCGGCUUUACACUUUUAAUUAGAAACAUCGGAGCCCAGGGAUGAUCCUAGGAAGAGAAUAAUUGCAAGACACUCAUCUAAAGUAAUUAUGUUUAGAAAUGAGUUAAUUUUAAGAUGUUGUGCUUACGUGCUCCUUUUCUCUAGCAGUUUAACCUAGACAAGCAGCUAUAUCAGUGAUUCUAUUCUCCCAGUUGAUUACAUUUGGUUCCUUUAUGCUUAAAGGAAGAUAACAGAAAACUUCAGAAAUUCCUUAUGGUGUAAUAGGAAAGGGGGGUUAUCUUGAGCUGCUGUUUUUGGAAUUAUUUUACAGCUCUUUGGUGGGUCUGGCCACUAAGAGAUAGGCUUGAAGGCCGCGAGGAACGUUUGUUCACUGUUCUAUCUAAAGCUUAAUGAGCUAAAGCUUUGGGGGUAUAGGUUAACGGAGGUGUUAUUUUAUAAUGCUUUGACUUGACCUGAAAUGAGUUUAUGGGGGGGAAAAAACCAUAAGCUGUGAAUUUUGGUAGUAAACAUCUGUCCAUUUCAGAUGCUUCCCUUGCUUUUAGCAGGCAGCCUGUGUACCUUUUAUGUGACUGCCAGUGGUUUAAAGAGAUCUGUUUCAAAAAGUGGUUGCAUGUUUUGAUGCAAUUUGGGAAACUUUACAAAUACAGAUUCAUAAGAAAAAAAUCCAUGAAAAUACUGAAGAUAUGUUUGAGGAUUUUCUUAAUUGCAGUAAAUAUUCAGCAUUUUUCUAAUGAACGUGAAUUUUGUUUAUGAGUAAAAGUAUGCAUUUU